AUCUCAGGCUGUAUCAGCCUGAAGGCGCCCGUUCUCGUCUGAUCUCGGAAGCUAAACAGGGUCGGGCCUGGUUAGUAUCUUGGAUGGGAGACCACCUGGGAAUCCCGGGUGCUCGAGGCU
Bison bison bison is the source of this 120-nucleotide ribosomal RNA. The record is from Ensembl. Lineage: Eukaryota; Metazoa; Chordata; Mammalia; Artiodactyla; Bovidae.